This 500-nucleotide ribosomal RNA is filed under the name uncultured bacterium. RNAcentral's name for it is "partial 16S ribosomal RNA". It matches the Rfam family "Bacterial small subunit ribosomal RNA", at positions 30 to 523 of the family's 1533-position model. The record is from RNAcentral.
AUUGAACGCUGGCGGCAGGCCUAACACAUGCAAGUCGAGCGGAUGAGAAGAGCUUGCUCUUCGAUUCAGCGGCGGACGGGUGAGUAAUGCCUAGGAAUCUGCCUGGUAGUGGGGGACAACGUUUCGAAAGGAACGCUAAUACCGCAUACGUCCUACGGGAGAAAGCAGGGGACCUUCGGGCCUUGCGCUAUCAGAUGAGCCUAGGUCGGAUUAGCUUGUUGGUGAGGUAAUGGCUCACCAAGGCGACGAUCCGUAACUGGUCUGAGAGGAUGAUCAGUCACACUGGAACGGAGACACGGUCCAGACUCCUACGGGAGGCAGCAGUGGGGAAUAUUGGACAAUGGGCGAAAGCCUGAUCCAGCCAUGCCGCGUGUGUGAAGAAGGUCUUCGGAUUGUAAAGCACUUUAAGUUGGGAGGAAGGGUUGUAGAUUAAUACUCUGCAAUUUUGACGUUACCGACAGAAUAAGCACCGGCUAACUCUGUGCCAGCAGCCGCCGUAA